CUGUGCUGCCAUAGUCUCUGCAGCACACCCCGUUCCUGCUAAAGGCCCCCUGCAGACCGGCUGCUUCCUCAUGGACCUGGGAGAGGCCUGGACCUUGGAGGCACAUCUAACUCUCCAAACCAUCUUCCUCUUCUCCAGGAAGCUAAAGACUUUUCCAGUGGACUCACCUACAUUUUAUUGA
Molecule: long non-coding RNA, 181 nt
Filed under: Capra hircus (goat)
Lineage: Eukaryota; Metazoa; Chordata; Mammalia; Artiodactyla; Bovidae
Description: lncRNA (ENSCHIG00000004720.1)
Source: RNAcentral